CAUUGUAUUGCAAAUCACUGAAAAAAGGAAAAUAGACAUUAACCUACUGUUAAUGUCUUAACUUUAUUUUAAGUUAUUUUAUUUACUUUUAUUUUAUUUGUUUCAUCUUUAUUGACUUUGUGUGCAACGGUUCAUCCGAAUCUUCCUCAAACUCCAAAUCUCGCGAGAUUACGGAUGACUACGCGAAGUUAAAGGUUAAAAACGCGCAGCACGUAGUCUUUUUGGGAAGCUAGCAUUAGCCAAAAGUUAUUAAUAUGAGGAUAUGACUAGGCUUAUAAUGUUAUGAAGGAGUUUCAACAGAGACUAAUAAACAAACAAAGAGCCGGCCGGCUAGGAAGCGGCGGGAAAAAAAACACUGGUUGGACAUGAAGGAAGAGGGACACAUUGACGACAGAACGACAAGCUAGCUAGCUAGCAUUAGCGUUAGCCCCGAGGCUGCCGGAGACCCGCAGUACUCUGUCGUACCGCCAGGGGAAUCAAAAUGGCCGCGACAGAGUGCGGAGGACACGGUGCUCGUCGGGGGACACCUCACACCCGGAUGUCCCGGUGGAGGAAGGAAGGAGGAAGGAAGGACACGGUGCUCGUCGGGGGACACCUCACACCCGGAUGUCCCGGUGGAGGGAAGGAAGGAGGAAGGACACGGUGCUCGUCGGGGGACCCGGAACACCGCGACACGCCGCCUGCAGCUCGUUUAAACGAGUAAACCGCAGCGAGGGGCCGCGUUGACCCGAGGACGAGCCCCACAAACGUGCGACAGAGGCCGGAGGUGGAGGUCAGGUUCCUGUUGACCUGUCACGAGGUCACAUAGAGGUCAGAGCCGUGACGUCAGAGCCGUCACCACCACAUGUGGUAAAACUUCUCCAGGUCACAGACUCCGAGAGGAACCGACGUGUCAGUUGGCUGCAGGAGGAGCUCAUAAUAAACCUCCUGCUCACUGCUGCAAGUUUGGAAAUGUGAUAGGAGGGCACGUUGUCAAAGCAGCUGAAGUCUCAUUAACUUAAACCGGAAUUUUGACUUUUGCAUCUUCAAAAUAAAAUAUUUUUUGCCACCAUAGGGAAAAAACAAGUUCUCUGGGAAAUUUUUAACAAACAGUAGAAAGAGAAUAGACCUGAUUAAUGGAAUGACUGAAUUUGAGAAGAAAUUAUAAGAAAUAAAAACAUUUAUGUGCAUUGAAAGACAGUUAAUCACAUACCUGAUGUAUGGAAAUCAAAAAUAUAUUUGAACGAAAAGAAGGAUGUGAAUCACUACACAGGUCAAAAAAGCAGAUUAAUAAAUUCAUGGUAUUUUGAGUAAUUGAUUAACGUCAACUGAAAAAACUGGCUCAACUUUUACCGUAUGUGGGUUAGGGGUUAAAAUUGACCUUGAUACCUUUAAUAUUUCACUUGAUAUCAUGCUUACGUAGUUAUUAAUGUGCGUUCAAUCAUUUUAUUAUUAGACUUCACUGCAUAGCUCACGCAAGUACAAUAUAUAGUUAUUACUCUUAAGUAUGAACGAGUCUUAAUCUGAGUCAAAUUAAAUACUUCACUUUUCAGUGUCAGUUAUUGCGUGUUUUAUUUUGAAGGAUACUGCCGGAAGCGCAUCAUUGUGUUCGCUGUAGCUUGACGCCGCUGGCAGAGCCAGAGCAGCAGUUAAAUGCGGAGCAGCUGAUUCUGUUAGGGGGCUAAAAAUAAUCAACUUUUUUUUUUGUCUCUCUCUCCAACUCUCACUGUAAAUCUUUUCCUCUUCCUCGUUUCUCUCCGUCUGUUUUUCUGACUUUAUUUAAAAAAAAAACAGGUCUAAGGAAUGAAACGGUGUCAAUAAGGAUUAUUACUUUUCUCUUGAGACUGACCCCGAGGCCUGUGUGGAGCCGUCGGCCGGUGGCAUGGCCUUGUCGUUUUGCGGCAACGACGAUGCCUACGGCGUGGAAAACGGCACGCUGAACAAUGGCUGCUUCGUGGACGCUCUCAACCUGGUGCCCCACGUCUUCCUGCUCUUCAUCACCUUCCCCAUCCUCUUCAUCGGUUGGGGCAGUCAGAGCUCGAAGGUCCAGAUCCAUCACAACACGUGGCUUCACUUCCCCGGACACAACCUGAGAUGGAUCCUCACCUUCUCGCUGCUGUUUGUACACGUCUGCGAGUUCGCGGAGGGGAUUGUCUCCAACAAGUCCGUCGAGACGACAGGAAGAUGGACGAUGGGAACGAAUCACCUCCACCUCUACAUGCCGGCGUUCAUGGGUUUCGUCGCCGCAACGACAUCUGUGGUUUACUACCACAACAUAGAGACGUCCAACUUCCCCAAACUGCUGCUCGUCCUUUUCAUUUACUGGGUGCUGGCGUUCAUCACAAAGUCCAUCAAGCUGUGGAAGUACGCGGAGUUCGACGUCGGACCGCAGCACCUGAGGUUCUGCAUCACGGGCCUGUUGGUGCUCCUGUACGGAUUAUUGAUGUCCGUGGAGAUCAACGUCAUCAGAGUCCGGAGGUAUGUCUUCUUCGCCAACCCUCAGAAGGUGAAGCCGCCAGAAGAUUUACAGGAUUUGGGGGUUCGCUUUCUGCAGCCGUUCGUCAACCUGCUCUCCAAGGCGACCUACUGGUGGAUGAACCCUCUCAUCAUGGGAGCCCACAAGAGGCCGAUCGAGCUGAAGAAGAUCGGCAAGCUGCCCAUCGCUAUGCGAGCGCUCACCAACUACCUGCGGCUCAAAGACGCCUACGAGGACCAGAGGACGCCGGAGGAUCCCAAUCGAGCCCCGUCGAUCUGGCGCUCCAUGUACCGAGCGUUCGGACGUCCCAUCCUGCUCAGCAGCACCUUCCGCUACCUGGCCGACCUGCUGGGCUUCGCCGGGCCGCUCUGCAUCUCCGGCAUCGUCAAGUUCCUGAAGGUGGAGGAGCGCAACGCCACGUCGGACAAGACCAUGGACACCUACUUCGGCGUCCAUUUCAUGUCGUCCACUAAGCUGCUGCAGAACACGUCAGUCCUCGCCGUCCUCCUCUUCCUGGCGUUGAUCCUGCAGAGAACCUUCCUGCAGGCCUCGUACUACGUCACCAUAGAAACGGGCAUCAACCUGCGCGGAGCCCUGCUGGCGAUGAUUUACAACAAAAUGCUGCGUCUGUCCACCUCCAACAUGUCCAUGGGCGAGAUGACGCUGGGGCAGAUCAACAACCUCGUUGCCAUCGAGACCAACCAGCUGAUGUGGUUCCUCUUCCUCUGCCCGAACCUGUGGGCCAUGCCCGUGCAGAUUGUGAUGGGAGUGAUCCUGCUCUACUACCUGCUGGGCUUGAGCGCCCUGGUCGGAGCGUCCGUCAUCGUCCUGCUCGCUCCGAUCCAAUACCUCAUCGCCACCAAGCUGGCAGACACACAGAAAAGCUCGCUGGAACACUCCACCGACCGUCUGAAGAAGACCACGGAGAUCCUGAAGGGCAUCAAGCUGCUGAAGCUGUACGCCUGGGAGAACAUCUUCUGUGACAGCGUGGAGGAGACCAGGGGCAAAGAGCUCACCUGCCUCCGGACCUUCGCCCUCUACACGUCCAUGUCCAUUUUCAUGAAUGCUGCUAUUCCCAUCGCGGCCGUUCUGGCGACGUUUGCGAUGCAUCACUUCAUCAACAAAUCCGUCCCCAGUCCGUCCGAGGCCUUCGCAGCUCUGGCCUUGUUCCACAUCCUGGUCACGCCGCUCUUCCUGCUCUCCACCGUCGUCAGGUUCGCCGUGAAGGCUCUGGUCAGUGUCCAGAAGCUCGGCGAGUUUCUUCAGAGUGAUGAAAUCGGAGACGACAGCUGGCGAAACGGAGACAUGUCCGUUUUCUUGGAAGCCGGAAAAAAACACCUGGGGGCGACCAAAGCCAUCAACAGGAAGCAGCCGAUGCGCUACCAGAUGGACAACUACGAGCAGCCGACCCGGCGGCCGAUGAGGCCCUCGGAGACGGAGGACGUGGCCGUGAAGGUGAGCAACGGAUUCUUCACCUGGGGAAGCAACCUGUCGACUCUGUCAGACAUCAACAUACGGAUCCCCACAGGUCAGCUGACGAUGAUCGUGGGCCAGGUGGGUUGUGGGAAAUCUUCCCUGCUGCUCGCCAUGUUGGGCGAGAUGCAGGCGAUCGACGGACGAGUCCACUGGAGCAAGCCGCCUGAAUGUGAGAUGGUCCACGAGGCGAACAUCAGUUGGUCAAAGGCAGAGGAGUCUGACGAAGACAUCAGGAGCAAGAACAGAUACUCCGUGGCCUACGCUACCCAGAAGUCCUGGCUGCUCAACGCCACAGUAGAGGACAACAUCACCUUCGGCAGCCCCUUCAGUAAACAGAGGUACAAAGAGGUGAUUGACGCCUGCUCUCUGCAGCCGGACAUCGACCUGCUGCCUUUCGGAGACCAAACGGAGAUUGGAGAGAGGGGCAUCAACCUGAGCGGAGGUCAGAGACAGAGAAUCUGUGUGGCCAGAGCUCUCUACCAGAACACCAACAUCGUCUUCCUGGACGAUCCCUUCUCGGCGCUGGACAUCCACCUCAGCGAUCAUCUGAUGCAGGAAGGAAUCCUCAAGUUCCUCCAGGACGACAAACGGACUGUCGUCAUGGUAACCCAUAAACUGCAGUACCUGAUACACGCAGACUGGAUCAUAGCGAUGAAGGACGGGUCCAUCCUGAGGGAGGGAACCCUGAAGGACAUUCAGACUCACGACGUCGAGCUUUACGACCACUGGAAAACUCUGAUGAACAGACACGACCAGGAGCUGGAGAAGGACAUUCAGCAGGACAGUCAAACGACACUCGAGAGGAAAACUCUGCGGAGAGCGUUCUACUCCCGAGAGGCCAAGAGCCAAGUAGACGACGAGGAUGAAGAGGAAGAGGUGGAGGAAGAGGACGAUGACAACAUGUCCAUGACCACCAACAGACGAUCAAAAAUCCCAUGGAAGGUGUGCUGGUGCUACAUGUCCUCCGGUGGUUUCUUCAUGGUCUUCCUCAUGGUGUCGUCCAAGCUCCUCAAACACUCCGUCAUCGUUGCCAUCGACUACUGGUUGGCCCUCUGGACGUCCUCCCAGACCAAUCAGAGUUUGACCAACGCCACGCUCCCCACCCGCAGCGCUGAGGAGGCUGAGCCCGACUCCUACUUUCUGCUGGUGUUUAUUAUCCUGUGUGCGGCCGGAAUCACGUUGUGCCUCAUCACCUCCCUCACGGUGGAGUUUCUGGGUCUUUCUGCCGCCACCAACCUGCACCACAACCUGCUCAACAAGAUCAUCCACGCCCCCAUCCGGUUCUUCGACGUCACUCCCCUCGGGCAGAUCCUCAACAGAUUCUCAGCUGACACGAACAUCAUCGAUCAGCAUAUUCCUCCCACACUGGAGUCGUUGACGAGAUCCACGCUGCUCUGUUUAUCGGCCAUCGGGGUCAUAUCCUCCAUCACUCCCAUUUUUCUAAUUGCCUUGAUUCCCCUGGGCAUCGCCUUCUACUUCAUCCAGAAGUACUUCCGAGUGGCGUCCAAGGACCUGCAGGACCUGGACGACUCCACGCAGCUUCCUCUGCUCUGCCACUUCUCCGAGACGGCCGAAGGUCUCACCACCAUCAGAGCGUUCAGACACGAGGCCCGUUUCAAGCAGCGCAUGCUGGAGCUGACCGACACCAACAACACCGCCUACCUGUUUCUGUCGGCCGCCAACCGCUGGCUGGAGGUCCGAACGGACUACCUCGGAGCGGUGAUCGUGCUGGCGGCGGCGGGGGCGUCCAUCUGGAGUCUGGAGUACAGUCUGCGCUCUGGCAUGGUGGGGCUCGGACUCACCUACGCCCUCACGGUCACCAACUACCUGAACUGGGUCGUGAGGAACCUGGCCGACCUGGAGGUGCAGAUGUCGGCGGUGAAGAAGGUCAACAGCUUCCUCAGCACCGAGUCGGAGAACUACGAGGGAUCAAUGGACGCCUCUCAGGUGCCUGAGAACUGGCCCCAGGACGGCGAGAUAAAGAUCCAGGACCUGUGCGUGCGCUACGACCCCAUGCUCAAACCGGUGCUCAAACACGUCAACGCCUACAUCAGCCCCGGCCAGAAGGUGGGAAUCUGCGGCCGCACCGGCAGCGGGAAGUCGUCGCUGUCCUUGGCCUUUUUCAACAUGGUGGAUAUUUUCGAAGGAAGGAUCGUCAUCGACGGGAUCGACAUCUGUAAACUUCCUCUGCAGACUCUCAGGUCGCGACUUUCCAUCAUCCUCCAGGACCCUGUGUUGUUCAGCGGAUCAAUUAGGUUCAAUCUCGAUCCGGAGAGGACGUGCACCGACGACCGACUCUGGGAGGCGCUGGAGAUCGCCCAGCUGAAGAACAUGGUGAAGGCGCUGCCUGGAGGCCUCGACGCCGUGGUGACGGAGGGCGGUGAGAACUUCAGCGUCGGUCAGAGGCAGCUCUUCUGUUUGGCCAGAGCCUUCGUCCGGAAGAGCAGCAUCCUCAUCAUGGAUGAAGCCACGGCGUCUAUCGACAUGGCCACGGAGAACAUCUUACAAAAAGUUGUGAUGACUGCAUUUGCAGACAGAACAGUCGUCACGAUUGCACACCUCGUGUCCUCCAUCUUGGACGCCGAGCAGGUGUUGGUCUUCUCCUCGGGGAUCUUGGUGGAAAGCGACUCGGCUCCCAACCUGCUGGCGCAGGAGGAGAGUCUCUUCCAUGUGCUAGUGAGGACUCACAAGUAGACCCGGAUCGGCCCCGGACCGCUUUGGCUCAGCUCGACCGUCUCCUGUCUUUUUCUUUUUCCUCCUCCGUGUUUCCUCCUGUGUCUGUUUACUUCCCUCGUCUGUUCCUGUCUGAGCCGGAGCUGGAGGCUGAGUCUGGGUCUGCUGAAGCCUCACCGCCACUGACAGCCUGCACCGCGUCCACACCAUCCUCACGGCCGACCUGGUCAUCGUGAUGAAGCGGGGGAACAUUCUGGAGUACGACAAACCCGAGACCCUCUUGGAGCAGGAGGACGGGAUGUUCGCUUCGUUCGUCAAGGCCGACAUGUAGACGGACAAACGAGUCGGCGAUCACAUCAGUUGGGUUUCAUAUUUCCAUCAUCAAUACAAGUGAAUGAUCAGUGCGACUGUAUCAUUAGUAAUUAGAUUAGCUGAAGGAGGGAAAAGUGAUGAAAUAUAUAUUGUUUUCUGUUUGUUAACGUAUCUCACGAAAGACGGAACCAACGAUGAACUGAACCUACGAACAAUAUUGCGUGUGACAUAAUUAUGGGACAGCCAAUCGGCAUUGAGAUCCUCCGACAUCACUGACGUCCUACGGAGAACAGGCGGAGAUUAUUGAAUUGUGUUUAUUUCGCGACACGAAAAUUUGCCUUGCGUUUGGUGUGAACGCACCAUAAUACUAGUAUUAUGGUGCGUUCACGUAUUAUUGACUACGGACGUUUCUACCGCAAAGUUGUUGAUCGAAAAGUUUUAGGCUGAGCUGAACUUUUCAAAAGUCUUUAAUUAUCUUUACCUGCUUUUAGAUUAUGCAACCACCUGUAUCAGUUUACACUCUUUAUCACAUGUAUUAAUGCAACAAUAAGAAAAGGAGAAACUUUUAAUUUCUUUCUUAAAUCCUUUUUUUAAAAAAUGGUUGAAUGUUGGUUUUCGGCCUGUGUCUCCGUACCAUUUUAAAUCUUAAUAUUUUAAAGCACGUGCUCCAUUUUCACGUUAGGUUCCACCAUAGAAGUUUUGGCUGGUAGAGUCGAUGUUACUGUCGCGUUCAGUGCGAAUUAUGAAGUGUUGAUCACAUGAUGUCGGAAGUCUGAGGACGAACACGGCGAGAGCUUUUCCAUCCACGUCUGAACACUUUGACGGGGGAUUCUGGCGAUCUACCACCACCUUUGUUCUAUCGGUUGUAUUUCUGUGCCCGCACUAGUUCAAACACUGAAGGGUGUCACGGCUCGACUGGCGCCGCCCAACCCGCUGUCUGUCUGUCGUCAGGCGUUGCUGAACUUAUUAUCCUUGGGGACGGAAGACGCUCCGACGUGAGCUCCCGUCACCUCCAGGGGUUCUUCCUUCUGGACUCGUAGCUUCUUCUUCUUCUUCUUCUUCUUCUUCUUCUAGACGCUGAGAGACGUUGAUGUGACGCCGAGUUGAUCCAGAAUCGACUCUAGUUUCUCUGUGAGAAUCGACUCUAGUUACUAGAGAGGACGCGAAAAGUUCGUAAGAGCUCAAACUCAAAAAGUUUAACUUCAGUUAAUUUUAUUCACACACAGUUCUUUGUUUUGUUUUAGUCUCUUUUAGCCUUUGGUUUUGGUUUUACAGCCAAUAAACUCACGAUAUAAAGCAAAAAAGGUAAAGGUUUCAUUAUUUUAACUCUCCUCUGGGGUUACCUGCACUGACACUCGCUCAGUGACCUUCCACAACACGGAAUAUGAUGUUGAAAAUGUCUAACAUCUGGAAUAAUAAAUACAUUUACAGAUUUGUCACAGGAAACUGUCAUAUGGCUGAUUUUUCAAAUUUGGCAAACAAACUGUUAGCGGGUUGAAUCUUAACAGCCUGUGACAAAUAAAUAAGGGAUUCUUUUUUACUUCCAUAACUGUCUAAAAUUAAUGAAUAAAUUAUUUUUCGUCCAAAGAAAAAAAAUAUUUUUGACAUUUUCGUAAAUAUGCUCAUUUCUUCUGUGGUGGAAAGCUGAAUUUGAACAUUGAUGAAUCACGUUUGUAUCCGUCUUUUGAAUAUGCAGCUACAGCUGGUUAGCUUAGCUUAGCAUAAAGACUGGAAACAGUUACAACCGCCACAUGUCGGCAUCCCUGAAGCUCACACGCUCUAUUGUAGUCAAAAUUGUAGUUUUUGAAAUAUCAUGUAAAUAACUUUAUACGUUUUUAUAACGAGUCCAGUGACGAUAUAAGUUCACACUGUUCUUCGUUGUACAUUUGAAGCCACUUUGUGCUUCUUACGAACAAAAUGCUAAAGAGACAAAGAUUUCGUCUCAACGUGUUUUUUUCUAGAAUCACUCGUUCCAUCUCUCCGGGUGCCGGUGCUGUUGUCCCUCUGUCAUUGUCCCUCUGUUAUUGUCCCUCUGUUAUUGUCCCUCUGUGCUAUUGUCCCUCUGUUAUUGUCCCUCUGUGUUAUUGUCCUUCUGUGCUAUUGUCCCUCUGUUAUUGUCCCUCUGUGUUAUUGUCCUUCUGUCCCUCUGUGCUAUUGUCCCCCUGUUAUUGUGUAUUGAUCAUAGUAACUCUGCUUUUCAAUGAGAUUGUAAAAGACUCUUUACUGUACAGACUGAAACACAAAUUUCUUUUUCUUGUUUCAUCUGAAGAAGUUUGCCGCUGUAGUUUUUUCUCUGAUCUUAUACGACUUAUUUUUUACACACUUCACUCAGAGAAGUGAUCAAAUCAACACUUUGUGCCGCUCGUUGAACACGAACGUGGAAACUAACGAGACCUGGAGGUUUUCUUUUUCUUUUUCUGUAACCCCGACUUGUGCCAAACGUCUCCGCCUCUAAAUCUUUUUCUAUUUUCAUGUUUUUCUACUCAAGCACAUUUUCUCUCUGCAGUUAUUAUUCCCAGUUCUUCUUCUCCGUCUUCCGUCUUCUCCUCGGUUCAUGACCUAGUUUUCUUUUUCGCCUGCUUUUUUUUCUGCCCUUAUCUACGAGAGCUCGUCAUAAAUCUUUUGUGUUUAGUUUUAGCACUUACACACAAACACACACACACACACACACACACACACACACACACUACCAGAGCUUUUAAGAUUGUUCUCAUAAACUGUGAUUGUUAAAUAAAUAUCGUUUUCACCUACAGGUCAACUUUAGGUUUUGUUUUGUAAAUGUACAGUCUGCAUGUUUUUAAACAUAUUACAUAUAACUAAUUAUUAUUAUUAUUAUUAUUUGUGCCUACAUUUAGGUUUUUUUUUUACACUUGUAUUAAAAAUUAAAUGUUUCUGAGUGAAGUGGAACUUUUUCUGCACCACACGACCCUGAACACACCAACUGACACACAAUAUAUUGUGAAAUGGCGCCCCCUGGCGACUCAGUGUCAAACUGACAAAUAUUUUUUUUUUAUUUGUAUAAUUUAAAACCAGCGAAUAAAGAAUCAUAAACGACUUUUUAUACGAGUUUGUAUGAAGAUACUUUUGAAAAAAUAUUUAAUCAACUCGUAAAAUUGCGUUUAUUUUCUAAAUAUGUGCUUUAAUUAAAAAAGUGUUGACCUUGGAUGAACAAGAAUCUGAGCAGACAUCACAUAGUUUUAUUUUUGUUACAUAUUUUUGUUUAUAAUCUCAAAACUGUAAAAUUUGAAGCUGCUUUUUAAAAAAAAUGUCCCCAGUUUUAAUUGAUUUUUAAGCAGCUAAUGAAAGUUAAAUAAUUGUCAUAGUGAGCUGCCAAAAAACGGAUUCAUUUAUCGUCCCAGUAAAUGAAGCGUUGAAAGUGAAUGCAAAAUGUGUUUUUUAUAGGUGUCAAAAGACUGAUGCUUCAUGACGUCAUCACUGUAACAGGAAGUGGAGCUCUAAUUGAAUUAAUUAAUUAACAGAAGAUUUGUGACAAAAUAUCCCAGUAAACUAUUUUCAUCCACACACACUCCCCUCUUGAAACCUGAACGUUUUAAUAUUUGUAUGUGUAUGAAACUUGUGAAAUACUGAAUUACAUUUAUGACUAACCAAUAAAUGAACUAAGGGGG
Molecule: RNA transcript, 10542 nt
Organism: Scophthalmus maximus (turbot)
Lineage: Eukaryota; Metazoa; Chordata; Actinopteri; Pleuronectiformes; Scophthalmidae
Gene name: ATP-binding cassette sub-family C member 9
Exons: 46
Source: RefSeq, a predicted model, not a curated record